This 497-nucleotide ribosomal RNA is filed under the name uncultured bacterium. RNAcentral's name for it is "partial 16S ribosomal RNA". It matches the Rfam family "Bacterial small subunit ribosomal RNA", at positions 29 to 507 of the family's 1533-position model. The record is from RNAcentral.
AAUGAACGCUGGCGGCAUGCCUAAUACAUGCAAGUCGAACGAACACAUCAGGAGCUUUCUCCCUUGACGUUAGCGGGGGACGGAUGCGUAACACGUGGGUAGAAUACCUCUCAGACUGGGAUGAUAUCGGGAAACCAGAUCUACUACCGGAUAAUAUUUCGAACCGGAUUGUUCCAUCGUUAAAGUUGCUUUUGGUAACAGUAAUAGCUGGACCCGGGCCCGAUUAGCUAGUUGGUAAGGUAACGGCUUAGCAACGCGACGAUACGUAGACGACCUGAGAGGGUGAUCGGCCACACUGGAACUGAGACACGGUCCAGACUCCUACGGGAGGCAGCAGUAGGGAAUCUUACGCAAUGGGCGAAAGCGUGAUGGAGCAACGCCGCGUGAGUGAUGAAGGUCUUCGGAUCGGAAAACUCUGUUAUUAGGGAAGAAGAAAAGUGUAAGUACCUGGGCACGUCUUGACGGUACCGAAACAGAAAGCUACGGCUAACUACGUG